UACGUAGGGUGCAAGCGUUGUCCGGAAUUAUUGGGCGUAAAGGGCUCGUAGGCGGUCCAUCGCGUCGGGAGUGAAAAGCUGGGGCUUAACCCCAGUCCUGCUUCCGAUACGGGUGGACUAGAGGUAGGUAGGGGAGAACGGAAUUCCUGGUGUAGCGGUGAAAUGCGCAGAUAUCAGGAGGAACACCGGUGACGAAGGCGGUUCUCUGGGCCUUACCUGACGCUGAGGAGCGAAAGCAUGGGGAGCAAACAGG
RNAcentral lists this ribosomal RNA (253 nucleotides) under uncultured bacterium. Its description in RNAcentral is "partial 16S ribosomal RNA". It matches the Rfam family "Bacterial small subunit ribosomal RNA", at positions 524 to 776 of the family's 1533-position model. The record is from RNAcentral.